This 1861-nucleotide long non-coding RNA is filed under the name Bactrocera tryoni. Its description in RNAcentral is "uncharacterized LOC120779993, transcript variant X1". The record is from RNAcentral. Lineage: Eukaryota; Metazoa; Arthropoda; Insecta; Diptera; Tephritidae.
ACAGAAGAAACGACUGGCGCGCUGUUGUUAACACGGCUAUAAUCGCGUAAGCGGUAUCUACACCAGCAAAGAAGAUAUCAUAGUACAAAAGUGGGCGAAAUCGGAACUAGGCGGGGUACUUCCCAUAGAGCAUAAUUUUCAAUUCUAUUUGAAUAUUUUACUUUCCAAUACAUAAAUCAAAAAGCAACUAAUAUAAUGGAAUACAUUUUUAUGACCAAUAUCGCCCGAAUCCAUCCAACACUGUUUUAGCCCCUAGCUACCAAAUAUGUGAAUAUACUUUUGACAGAAAUUGUCGGUCAAUUUGUCAGAUAUACAACUGAAAUUCAGAGCGUACCAUUUCCGGAUAAUAGUAAUUCUGUCUCUCGAGAAUGGGUUGAAUCAGGUCAAUACUUCCCUGAGCCCACAAUUACUUAAUUUCGAGGUUUCAGGACGCGUGAUCGAAGACAAAUGUUUAAUCACUAAUGGCGGCCAACGGGUGACACGUUUGCAGUGCAAAGCGGUGUUAGGGCGAUUGCCACGCCCCUGCUAGGACUAUGUAAGCGAUUAAUGCCUCUAAUAAAUUUGCUUCUCUCUAUAUACUUGAAUUAGUUAGGCCGCGUGAUCGAAGACAAAUGUUUAGGCACUAAUGACGGCCAAUGCAAAGCGGUUUUCGCGCGAUUGCCCUAGGGUGACACGUUUGCAACGCCAUGCCCCUUAGAGGGCCACUGCCACGCUCCUGGGAAGUGCUGCGUUAUCCAAGUCACCCGUUGAGACAAUAAUGGAGGCCAAAGGAUGACAAGUUUGCAGUGCAAAACUGUUUUUGAGCGAUUGUCGCGCCCCUAGUAAUACUAUAUAUUCUGAAAAAAUAUAAAGUAACGGAAAUAUAAUCCAGAAAUUUGCCAUUUUAUUUCAGACCCAAAUUAAAUACUAUUUCUAUUUUUGAAUAUAAUAUAUAAUGCUAAGAUAGCGCUGAAAAUAAUAUCCGUAACUGAAAGUGCUAAAUUUUAAACGAAGCGGCUUGAUAGAGAACUUGAAAUGGAUGUUGAAUUCAGCUCUAGCUGUGAUCUGUUCGAUUGAUACAUUCGCGGUUUAUCCUCCAAGUUUUCCGACAUAGAAAAAUCAGUAAUUGGAAAAAGAAGGAAACAGCGGGAAACGCAACGAUACUCAUUGCAGCUGUGUGCAAAUUACAAUUUAUAAUUGGGAGUUUUUACCCAUGUGAUAUUUUAUCUCUAACUUAUUCACUCAGCGUGAUUCUUCAGAAAGAAUCGGUCGAUCUGUCAAAGGCAGCAGAUAUGUAACGUUUCGAAAUCGAAGACAAAAAGCUGAGGAACAUUCCGAGCCAUCCACAAAAAAAUGGCGGCAGACCAAAAAGUUGACAAAGAAAAACCGAGAAUCUGCGGUCGACAAAACGCGGAAAUUUCUGCGUGAGAACUGGCGAAGAAUACUAAAGGGUCUCAGUGUACAUUCCUCUGUUGAAUAAAAUCGACGAAGAUUUGAAGACGCGCUUUAUAAGAGAACUAUUGGAUGGAUGUGCUUUGAAAACGAAAGAAAUGGAAAAUCUUAUUGACUGCUUGAUAGAUAGAUUCAUAGGCCCUUUGGAUAAUGACAACGUCGUGCGGCGUUUAAAGUUUAUAAGUGAACUUGAUCACUGGUAGUGCCAUUUUGCGCAGAAGAAAAAGUCAAAAGACAAGAAGUUACCGACUACUGCAUUGGAAACGCUGAAGGACUGCGAUGUAGAAUUACGGUAUAUCCCACAAUUCAUAGCUUUCUUCGCAUAUUCUGCACACUUCCUGUGAUCGUACUAUUUUCUCAAAGGGUGUUAAUAUAAUAUUUUUGAAAUGUUUGCUACAUGAUAUAAAAAUAAAGUGCCAUGAUACACGUA